AGCGAACGCUGGCGGCAGGCCUAACACAUGCAAGUCGAACGGACCCUUCGGGGUUAGUGGCGGACGGGUGAGUAACACGUGGGAACGUGCCUUUAGGUUCGGAAUAGCUCCUGGAAACGGGUGGUAAUGCCGAAUGUGCCCUUCGGGGGAAAGAUUUAUCGCCUUUAGAGCGGCCCGCGUCUGAUUAGCUAGUUGGUGAGGUAACGGCUCACCAAGGCGACGAUCAGUAGCUGGUCUGAGAGGAUGACCAGCCACACUGGGACUGAGACACGGCCCAGACUCCUACGGGAGGCAGCAGUGGGGAAUCUUGCGCAAUGGGCGAAAGCCUGACGCAGCCAUGCCGCGUGAAUGAUGAAGGUCUUAGGAUUGUAAAAUUCUUUCACCGGAGACGAUAAUGACGGUACCCGGAGAAGAAGCCCCGGCUAACUUCGUG
RNAcentral lists this ribosomal RNA (433 nucleotides) under uncultured bacterium. RNAcentral describes it as "partial 16S ribosomal RNA". It matches the Rfam family "Bacterial small subunit ribosomal RNA", at positions 29 to 507 of the family's 1533-position model. The record is from RNAcentral.